RNAcentral lists this transfer RNA (56 nucleotides) under Pseudocapillaria tomentosa. RNAcentral describes it as "tRNA-Glu". Lineage: Eukaryota; Metazoa; Nematoda; Enoplea; Trichinellida; Capillariidae. The record is from RNAcentral.
GAUCAUUUGGUGAAAACUAUCACAAUGAAAUUUCAAUUCAUAGUUUAAUAUGAUUA